GCGGGAAUAGUUCAGCGGUAGAGCGCGACCUUGCCAAGGUCGAAGUCGCGAGUUCGAAUCUCGUUUCCCGCUCCA
RNAcentral lists this transfer RNA (75 nucleotides) under Peptostreptococcus sp. Its description in RNAcentral is "tRNA-Gly". It matches the Rfam family "tRNA". From Rfam's summary of the family: Transfer RNA (tRNA) molecules are approximately 80 nucleotides in length. Lineage: Bacteria; Bacillati; Bacillota; Clostridia; Peptostreptococcales; Peptostreptococcaceae. The record is from RNAcentral. RNAcentral also lists the same sequence under 14 other names.